This 331-nucleotide ribosomal RNA is filed under the name Escherichia coli. RNAcentral describes it as "partial 23S ribosomal RNA". It matches the Rfam family "Bacterial large subunit ribosomal RNA", at positions 837 to 1166 of the family's 2925-position model. Lineage: Bacteria; Pseudomonadati; Pseudomonadota; Gammaproteobacteria; Enterobacterales; Enterobacteriaceae. The record is from RNAcentral.
GCCUGGUGAUAGCUGGUUCUCCCCGAAAGCUAUUUAGGUAGCGCCUCGGACGAAUACCAUAGGGGGUAGAGCACUGUUUCGGCUAGGGGGUCAUCCCGACUUACCAAACCGAUGCAAACUCCGAAUACCUAUGAGUACUAUCCGGGAGACAGACUGCGGGUGCUAACGUCCGUAGUCAAGAGGAAAACAAUCCAGACCGCCAGCUAAGGCCCCAAAAUCAUAGUUAAGUGGGAAACGAUGUGGGAAGGCAUAGACAGCUAGGAGGUUGGCUUAGAAGCAGCCACCCUUUAAAGAAAGCGUAAUAGCUCACUAGUCGAGUCGGCCUGCGCGG